CUCAACGGUGGGCCAGCAGGCGGGGGAAUACAGGUGGGGGAAAUGGUGCGCGGAAUUAUGGGGCGGAAAGCGCAGGUAGGCGGGUCGUUAAGUCGGAUGUGAAAGCCCCGGGCUCAACCCGGGAAGUGCAUUCGAAACUGGCGAGCUUGAGUAUGGAAGAGGGUCGCGGAAUUCCCGGUGUAGAGGUGAAAUUCGUAGAUAUCGGGAGGAACACCAGUGGCGAAGGCGGCGACCUGGGCCAAUACUGACGCUGAGGUGCGAAAGCGUGGGGAGCAAACAGGAUUAGAUACCCUUGUAGUC
This 300-nucleotide ribosomal RNA is filed under the name uncultured Lactobacillus sp. Its description in RNAcentral is "bacterial SSU rRNA". It matches the Rfam family "Bacterial small subunit ribosomal RNA", at positions 497 to 795 of the family's 1533-position model. Lineage: Bacteria; Bacillati; Bacillota; Bacilli; Lactobacillales; Lactobacillaceae. The record is from RNAcentral.